This 253-nucleotide ribosomal RNA is filed under the name uncultured bacterium. RNAcentral's name for it is "partial 16S ribosomal RNA". It matches the Rfam family "Bacterial small subunit ribosomal RNA", at positions 524 to 776 of the family's 1533-position model. The record is from RNAcentral.
UACGAAGGGGACUAGCGUUGUUCGGAAUUACUGGGCGUAAAGCGCACGUAGGCGGAUUUGUUAGUCAGGGGUGAAAUCCCUCGGCUCAACCAAGGAAGUGCAUCCGAAACUGCAGUACUUGAGUACGAAAGAGGAUCGCGGAAUUCCCGGUGUAGAGGUGAAAUUCGUAGAUAUCGGGAGGAACACCAGUGGCGAAGGCGGCGAUCUGGGUCGAUACUGACGCUGAGGUGCGAAAGCGUGGGGAGCAAACAGG